RNAcentral lists this small RNA (28 nucleotides) under Bombyx mori (domestic silkworm). RNAcentral's name for it is "ovarian small RNA-13221". Lineage: Eukaryota; Metazoa; Arthropoda; Insecta; Lepidoptera; Bombycidae. The record is from RNAcentral.
CAGCCUCCCUAUAUCCGGCUGUGCCUGC